AGAACGAACGCUGGCGGCAGGCCUCAAACAUGCAAGUCUAGGGGGCGUAGCAAUACGUCACCGGCGGACGGGUGCGUAACACGUGGGAAUGUACUUAUUGGUUCGGAACAACUCAGGGAAACUUGAGCUAAUACCGAAUGUGCCCGUAAGGGGAAAGAUUUAUCGCCAAUAAAUCAGCCCGCGUCCGAUUAGCUAGUUGGUGGGGUAAAGGCCCACCAAGGCGACGAUCGGUAGCUGUUCUGAGAGGAAGAUCAGCCACACUGGGACUGAGACACGGCCCAGACUCCUACGGGAGGCAGCAGUGGGGAAUAUUGGACAAUGGGCGCAAGCCUGAUCCAGCCAUGCCGCGUGGAUGAUGAAGGCCUUAGGGUUGUAAAGUCCUUUCGACGGGGAAGAUAAUGACGGUACCCGUAGAAGAAGCCCGGCUAACUUCGUGCCAGCAGCCGC
Molecule: ribosomal RNA, 447 nt
Filed under: uncultured bacterium
Lineage: Bacteria
Description: SSU rRNA
Rfam family: Bacterial small subunit ribosomal RNA
Source: RNAcentral